Molecule: ribosomal RNA, 101 nt
Filed under: Chloroflexota bacterium
Lineage: Bacteria; Bacillati; Chloroflexota
Description: Chloroflexi bacterium partial 16S ribosomal RNA
Rfam family: Bacterial small subunit ribosomal RNA
Source: RNAcentral
GGGGAGGCAGCGGCCGAGGGCAGGGGCCGCGACUGGGACGAAGUCGUAACAAGGUAGCCGUACCGGAAGGUGCGGCUGGAUCACCUCCUUUCUAGGGAGCA